This 338-nucleotide unclassified non-coding RNA is filed under the name uncultured Borrelia sp. Its description in RNAcentral is "partial contains 5S-23S ribosomal RNA intergenic spacer and 23S ribosomal RNA". The stretch from base 158 to 338 matches the Rfam family "Bacterial large subunit ribosomal RNA", at positions 1 to 188 of the family's 2925-position model. Lineage: Bacteria; Pseudomonadati; Spirochaetota; Spirochaetia; Spirochaetales; Borreliaceae. The record is from RNAcentral.
GAUUUUAUUUUUUAUGUUUUUAGAUAUUUAUGUUUUUGAAUGUUUUAUUCAAAUAAUAUAAAAAAUAAAAUAUAUAUUGACAUGGAUUAAACAAAGAUAUAUAUUAUUCUAUGUUGUAUAAACAAAUUGGCAAAAUAGAGAUGGAAGAUAAAAAUAUGGUCAAAGUAAUAAGAGUCUAUGGUGAAUGCCUAGGAGCUUUAAGGCGAAGAAGGUCGUGGUAAGCUGCGAAAAGCUUGGGGGAGAAGCAAACAUUUAUUGAUCCCAAGAUUACCGAAUGGAGUAAUCCAGCUAGCAAGAUGCUAGCUAUCUAUUAUUUAAAUGAUAGAGGCGAUACCAGG